Non-coding RNA from Vigna umbellata (rice bean), 995 nucleotides. NCBI's taxonomy places the organism in Eukaryota, Viridiplantae, Streptophyta, Magnoliopsida, Fabales, Fabaceae. The record is from RefSeq and is a predicted model, not a curated record.
GUUAGCAGGGGAGGGGGAGAGCGUUUUCGAGAAACAAGAGAGAAGACCAGAGGGAGCGAAACUCACCCAACCUCGUUCUUCUUCUUCUUCAAUUAUUUUUCUCUCUUUUUCUCUUUAGAACCAAAACCCCUUUUUAUGCCAGUUCUUCUUCUUCUUCUUCAAUUUUGUUUUUCCUCUUUUUCGGACCAAACCCUAGAACCGUGAGCAAUGAGGAUUGGAGGCUGCCAAGGGUAGAUUUAUUGCACGAAUUGGUGAGUUGAGAGAUAGCCGUGAGGACUUCGUAUCAAGUUCAAAUACAACGCCAUAGCAGUUGUAACUGCACCUCUGUCUCCAGCCACCAUCGUGGAGCACCCGUCACCAGCCACCACUGUGACGCCAUAAAACCAAUGGUCACCAUCCAGUCUCUCUCUUGGUAAUUGCUGAAUGGAAACUAGAAAACUACUAUCCCUUUUGAGAACUUGUAAGAAUUCGAAGUCACUGAAGCAAGGCAAGCUCAUUCAUCAGAAAGCUGUAACAUUGGGAUUGCAAAAUGAUAUAUAUUUAUGCAAGAAUUUGAUUAACUUAUAUCUUUCUUUCCAUUUGUAUGAUCAUGCAAAGUGCGUUCUUGAUACUAUGAAAAACCCAUGUGAGAUAUCCUUGUGGAAUGGCCUGAUAGCUGGUUACACUAAGAAUUACAUGUAUGUGGAAGCCCUAUAGCUUUUUGAGAAGUUGUUACAUUACCCUUACCUGAAACCUGAUAGUUAUACUUACCCUAGUGUUAUUAAGGUUUGUGGGGGGUUGUGUAGGUUUCUGUUGGGAAAAAUGAUCCAUACAUGCUUGAUAAAAACUGGUUUAAUGAUGGACAUUGUUGUUGGAAGCUCUCUUGUGGGUAUGUAUGCAAAAUGCAAUGCAUUUGAGAAAGCCAUUUGGCUGUUCAAGGAAAUGCCUGAGAAGGACGUGGCAUGCUGGAAUACCGUAAUUUCUUGUUAUUACCAAAGUGGAAACUUCAAAGAAGC